RNAcentral lists this non-coding RNA (46 nucleotides) under Schistosoma bovis. RNAcentral also lists the same sequence under 1 other name. The record is from RNAcentral. Lineage: Eukaryota; Metazoa; Platyhelminthes; Trematoda; Strigeidida; Schistosomatidae.
GCACUGCUGACGAGUCAAGCAAUAAGACGAAACGGCUGUCCAGUAC